Molecule: long non-coding RNA, 880 nt
Filed under: Homo sapiens (human)
Lineage: Eukaryota; Metazoa; Chordata; Mammalia; Primates; Hominidae
Description: non-protein coding lnc-ATP5F1D-3:1
Source: RNAcentral
AUCGGCACGAUUCACCUCGCCCGGUCCUGAGGUCCCAGGGACGCAGCUGGGGGUGUCCUGGAAUUCACGACUCUGCAGCCCGAGGUCCCCUCUGGCACUGUGGAGGACUCGCCAUGCCUCUCCUGCCCCCUCCCCUGUGUGACAGCGAUCACAGACCCCGGCACAAAGCUGAGCAGAGCCCAUCGGGGCCCAAACGUGCACUCACAGAGGCCUGCUCCUCGUGGGGUGACAUCAGAACGACACCCGCAGAAACCCAAAGCCCAAAGCUGCCCCCGCUUCUCCCUCUUAGACCAUCGAACCUCAUCCUGCAGAUACUCAGGCCACACACCUGCCACCAGCCUGGCCCGAGCGCCACCCCAACCCCUCUGAGCCCACGCCUAACACCCCACAGCGCCUCCUCUUUCUCGUCCCAAAGAAAGGCUGACACCGCUCUGGCACGUGGCUGGCCCAGCUCAGCCUCCCCGCCUCUGCCCUUGCAGGUGCCCUGUACCCAGGCCUCUGUCCAUGCAGCCAGAGAUUCACCCCGGUUUCCUUCAACUCCUUCCCCAGCUUCACAGUCUCGGCGCUUCUGCUCUUGGCUUCCAGCCCAUGCCUGGGUCCCCUCCUCUGCUACGUCCCUCCAAGGCCCUAUGCCUUGCGCCUUGCCUGUUCCUGUGUGCUGUGGGGCCACCACUCCGAUAGCUGUGAACUCCAAGGGCAGCCCCAGGGAACCUGGUGCCAGAGAUGGAAUCUUGCUAUGUUGUCCGGGCUGGUCUCGAACUUCUGGGCUCAAGAGAUCCUUCUGUCUCAGUCUCCUAAAUUGUUGGGACUACAGGUGUGAGCCCCCACACCCCGCCAGGUUUCUGAUUUUUAAUAAAGACUCCCUCUGGCUGUGUGAAGA